CCUACGGGUGGCAGCAGUGGGGAAUAUUGCGCAAUGGACGAAAGCCUGACGCAGCGACGCCGCGUGAGGGAUGAAGGUCUUCGGAUCGUAAACCUCUGUCAGCAGGGAAGAACGGUCACUGUGCUAAUCAGCAGUGAAUUGACGGUACCUGCAAAGGAAGCACCGGCUAACUCCGUGCCAGCAGCUGCGGUAAUACGGAGGGUUCGAGCGUUAAUCGGAUUUACUGGGCGUAAAGCGCUCGUAGGCGGUAUGUCAAGUCAAGGGUGAAAUCCCCGCGCUCAACGUGGGAACUGCCUUUGAAACUGGCAGACUGGAGUAUGGGAGAGGAUAGUGGAAUUCGAGGUGUAGGAGUGAAAUCCGUAGAUAUCUGGAAGAACAUCAGUGGCGAAGGCGACUAUCUGGCACAUAACUGACGCUGAGGAGCGAAAGCGUGGGUAGCAAACAGGAUUAGAUACCCGGGUAGUC
Molecule: ribosomal RNA, 465 nt
Filed under: uncultured bacterium
Lineage: Bacteria
Description: partial 16S ribosomal RNA
Rfam family: Bacterial small subunit ribosomal RNA
Source: RNAcentral